GACGAACGCUGGCGGCGUGCUUAACACAUGCAAGUCGAACGGAAAGGCCCUGCUUUUGUGGGGUGCUCGAGUGGCGAACGGGUGAGUAACACGUGAGUAACCUGCCCUUGACUUUGGGAUAACUUCAGGAAACUGGGGCUAAUACCGGAUAGGAGCUCCUGCUGCAUGGUGGGGGUUGGAAAGUUUCGGCGGUUGGGGAUGGACUCGCGGCUUAUCAGCUUGUUGGUGGGGUAGUGGCUUACCAAGGCUUUGACGGGUAGCCGGCCUGGGAGGGUGACCGGACACGUUGGGCUGGGGAUACGGCACAGACUCCUACGGGAGGGAGAGGUGGGGAGGAGUGCACAAUGGGAUGAAGCAUGAUGCGGCAACGCCGUGUGGGGGAUGAGGGGCUUGGGGUUGUAAAGCGCUGUUGCCUGUGACGAAGCGUGAGUGACGGUAAUGGGUAAAGAAGCACCGGCUAACUACGUG
This 468-nucleotide ribosomal RNA is filed under the name uncultured bacterium. RNAcentral describes it as "partial 16S ribosomal RNA". It matches the Rfam family "Bacterial small subunit ribosomal RNA", at positions 28 to 507 of the family's 1533-position model. The record is from RNAcentral.